This 560-nucleotide ribosomal RNA is filed under the name Peptostreptococcus stomatis. Its description in RNAcentral is "bacterial SSU rRNA". It matches the Rfam family "Bacterial small subunit ribosomal RNA", at positions 382 to 971 of the family's 1533-position model. The record is from RNAcentral. Lineage: Bacteria; Bacillati; Bacillota; Clostridia; Peptostreptococcales; Peptostreptococcaceae.
CCUGAUGCAGCAACGCCGCGUGAACGAUGAAGGUCUUCGGAUCGUAAAGUUCUGUUGCAGGGGAAGAUAAUGACGGUACCCUGUGAGGAAGCCCCGGCUAACUACGUGCCAGCAGCCGCGGUAAUACGUAGGGGGCUAGCGUUAUCCGGAUUUACUGGGCGUAAAGGGUGCGUAGUGGUCCUUCAAGUCGUGGUUAAAGCUACGCUCAACCGUGGUAAGCCGCCGAAACUGGAGACUUGAGUGCAGGAGAGGAAAGUGGAAUUCCCAGUGUAGCGGUGAAAUGCGUAGAUAUUGGGAGGAACACCAGUAGCGAAGGCGGCUUUCUGGACUGCAACUGACACUGAGGCACGAAAGCGUGGGUAGCAAACAGGAUUAGAUACCCUGGUAGUCCACGCUGUAAACGAUGAGUACUAGGUGUCGGGGGUUACCCCCUCGGUGCCGCAGCUAAGCAUUAAGUACUCGCCUGGGGGUACGCACGCAAGUGUGAAACUCAAAGGAAUUGACGGGGACCCGCACAAGUAGCGGAGCAUGUGGUUUAAUUCGAAGCAACGCGAGAACCU